CGGUAAACCAGGGCUACUCCAUGCAGGAUGAAUUGGGUUGAGAUGUAAAUAUUUUCUAUCAGAGUAUUAACUGCUUAUUAAAAGGGUAUUGAGAUUUAUAUGUUAUGUGGAUAUAAUUAUAGACAUCACAGAGGGGUCACUGGCGUGCUGGAAACAUCUCUCACAGGGCUGUUAAUCCAGAAAUGUGUGUCCUGCAGUCAGCUGGCCUUUAGGUAGAGUGUUUUACUUGUCUUAUUAAGCAGAAAUUAAACACAGGUAUAAAUGCUGCUGCUGCACACGCGGCUCCGUUUUCUGGACCCACCACAGGCAGGUCACGUGGCACCACCGAGCCCUGACCUGACGACUCUGUGAUAAAAGAGGGAGCUCCGUGUUGCAAGGUCUUGACUUGCAGUGACCUGAGGCGCCCCGGGGGAAGAGCUGGGGCUGCUUCUCUCCUCCACCCACGUGCAGGGUCUGACUGCCCAGGUCUGGGAGAGAAAGGGGACCUGCUGGUGCCAGUCACAUGCCUCGUGCUCACAGAGGGGGCACGCUUGCUCUGUGGACCCCUUCCUCUAAGAGCUUGGAGAGAGAGAGGUGUCGCACUCCCUGGGGACAGAGCAGAGCCUGACGCAGUCAAGGCAGACAUCACUCAAGAGCACCGAGAACAUGGUCCUUCUCAGCAGAGUGCUCUCGACAGCCAGCCAGUACUAAUCUAUCCAGGUUUGCCAUGCUGGCGAAGCUGUUGCGUGGAAAACAAAUCCUCGAGGUGCAUCUGAGAGAAUCAAGGCCCAAGAAGGUGGACUUGCCCAAGACGUGGCAGGUAAGUGCAUCUGUGAACCUACAGCCAGCUUUGGGGAGGUGUUGGGGGUGCCUUCUCAUGUUUGGAACAUACUGAAGAAGCCCCA
This 884-nucleotide long non-coding RNA is filed under the name Sus scrofa (pig). RNAcentral's name for it is "lncRNA (ENSSSCG00030004895.1)". The record is from RNAcentral. Lineage: Eukaryota; Metazoa; Chordata; Mammalia; Artiodactyla; Suidae.